RNAcentral lists this small nuclear RNA (21 nucleotides) under Arabidopsis thaliana (thale cress). RNAcentral's name for it is "snRNA_02483". The record is from RNAcentral. Lineage: Eukaryota; Viridiplantae; Streptophyta; Magnoliopsida; Brassicales; Brassicaceae.
CUUCAAGAAGAUCAUCCUCAU